This 500-nucleotide ribosomal RNA is filed under the name uncultured bacterium. Its description in RNAcentral is "partial 16S ribosomal RNA". It matches the Rfam family "Bacterial small subunit ribosomal RNA", at positions 30 to 523 of the family's 1533-position model. The record is from RNAcentral.
AUUGAACGCUGGCGGCAGGCCUAACACAUGCAAGUCGAGCGGCAGCGGGACCUUCGGGUUGCCGGCGAGCGGCGGACGGGUGAGUAAUGCCUAGGAAUCUGCCUGUUAGUGGGGGAUAACGCGGGGAAACUCGCGCUAAUACCGCAUACGUCCUACGGGAGAAAGCGGGGGCUCUUCGGACCUCGCGCUAACAGAUGAGCCUAGGUCGGAUUAGCUAGUUGGUGGGGUAAUGGCUCACCAAGGCGACGAUCCGUAACUGGUCUGAGAGGAUGAUCAGUCACACUGGAACUGAGACACGGUCCAGACUCCUACGGGAGGCAGCAGUGGGGAAUAUUGGACAAUGGGCGAAAGCCUGAUCCAGCCAUGCCGCGUGUGUGAAGAAGGUCUUCGGAUUGUAAAGCACUUUAAGUCGGGAGGAAGGGCUGUAGGUUAAUACCCUGCGGUUUUGACGUUACCGACAGAAUAAGCACCGGCUAACUUCGUGCCAGCAGCCGCCGUAA